Molecule: ribosomal RNA, 354 nt
Filed under: bacterium LimB-10-J-150
Lineage: Bacteria
Description: bacterial SSU rRNA
Rfam family: Bacterial small subunit ribosomal RNA
Source: RNAcentral
GGCCUGAGAGGGUGACCGGCCACACUGGGACUGAGACACGGCCCAGACUCCUACGGGAGGCAGCAGUGGGGAAUAUUGCACAAUGGGCGAAAGCCUGAUGCAGCGACGCCGCGUGAGGGAUGACGGCCUUCGGGUUGUAAACCUCUUUCAGUAGGGAAGAAGCGAAAGUGACGGUACCUGCAGAAGAAGCGCCGGCUAACUACGUGCCAGCAGCCGCGGUAAUACGUAGGGCGCAAGCGUUAUCCGGAAUUAUUGGGCGUAAAGAGCUCGUAGGCGGUUUGUCGCGUCUGCUGUGAAAGGCCAGGGCUCAACCCCGGUUCUGCAGUGGGUACGGGCAGACUUGAGUGAAGUAGG